This 441-nucleotide ribosomal RNA is filed under the name uncultured bacterium. Its description in RNAcentral is "partial 16S ribosomal RNA". It matches the Rfam family "Bacterial small subunit ribosomal RNA", at positions 338 to 795 of the family's 1533-position model. The record is from RNAcentral.
CCUACGGGAGGCAGCAGUGGGGAAUAUUGGGCAAUGGGCGCAAGCCUGACCCAGCAACGCCGCGUGAAGGAUGAAGGUUUUCGGAUUGUAAACUUCUGUCGCGAGGGACGAAGAAUGACGGUACCUCGUAAGAAAGCCCCGGCUAACUACGUGCCAGCAGCCGCGGUAAUACGUAGGGGGCAAGCGUUGUCCGGAAUGACUGGGCGUAAAGGGAGUGUAGGCGGCCUUGUAAGUUAGAUGUGAAAUCCUACGGCUUAACCGUAGAACUGCAUCUAAAACUGUGAGGCUGGAGUGCAGGAGAGGUGAGUGGAAUUCCUAGUGUAGCGGUGGAAUGCGUAGAUAUCACGAAGAACUCCGAUUGCGAAGGCAGCUUACUAAACUGCCACUGACAUUGAUGCUCGAAAGUGUGGGUAUCAAACAGGAUUAGAUACCCGUGUAGUC